This 148-nucleotide ribosomal RNA is filed under the name uncultured bacterium. RNAcentral describes it as "partial 16S ribosomal RNA". It matches the Rfam family "Bacterial small subunit ribosomal RNA", at positions 376 to 516 of the family's 1533-position model. The record is from RNAcentral.
CGCAAGCCUGAUCCAGCCAUGCCGCGUGUGUGAAGAAGGUCUUCGGAUUGUAAAGCACUUUAAGUUGGGAGGAAGGGCUCUUGGCUAAUACCCAAGGGUUUUGACGUUACCAACAGAAUAAGCACCGGCUAACUUCGUGCCAGCAGCC